This 502-nucleotide ribosomal RNA is filed under the name Bacillaceae bacterium CL3.44. RNAcentral's name for it is "bacterial SSU rRNA". It matches the Rfam family "Bacterial small subunit ribosomal RNA", at positions 17 to 503 of the family's 1533-position model. The record is from RNAcentral. Lineage: Bacteria; Bacillati; Bacillota; Bacilli; Caryophanales; Bacillaceae.
CCCUGGCUCAGGACGAACGCGGCGGCGUGCCUAAUACAUGCAAGUCGAGCGAAUCAACAGGAGCUUGCUCCUGUUGGUUAGCGGCGGACGGGUGAGUAACACGUGGGCAACCUGCCUGUAAGACUGGGAUAACACCGGGAAACCGGUGCUAAUACCGGAUAAUCCUUUUCCUCUCAUGAGGAAAAGCUGAAAGUCGGUUUCGGCUGACACUUACAGAUGGGCCCGCGGCGCAUUAGCUAGUUGGUGAGGUAACGGCUCACCAAGGCGACGAUGCGUAGCCGACCUGAGAGGGUGAUCGGCCACACUGGGACUGAGACACGGCCCAGACUCCUACGGGAGGCAGCAGUAGGGAAUCUUCCACAAUGGACGAAAGUCUGAUGGAGCAACGCCGCGUGAGCGAUGAAGGCCUUCGGGUCGUAAAGCUCUGUUGUUAGGGAAGAACAAGUACCGGAGUAACUGCCGGUACCUUGACGGUACCUAACCAGAAAGCCACGGCUAACUA